GGGGCCAGAAUCCUCAGGCUUUGCAGAACCUCCAUAGCAGCCAUAGACAGCUGUCUCUGUGAUCAGUAGACAUGGAACGACACCCAAGGAAGUUUGUCUACUCACCAUGGCUUACAGACAAUUUGAAGGUGCUAAAACCACACUGAAUGCAGACCUCUCCCAGCCUGCUUUCUCUGCUUAGGCUGUGGGCAAAUGGCACAGAUCCUUGGGUCGUGAGCAGGAACCUGCAGUGUCUAUACAUCUUUGGCCUUUGCUCAGAGGACAGUCCUGACCGAAGCCAUCUGAGGAUCUCAACUCAAGGUGAGCAGCUGGACAGCCCUGCCCAGAUGGCAGGACUCCAGGCCUCCCACCUCUUGGUACGUGAGACAGCACAGAAUGCUGGGGGGCCCUGCCCUCUUUCACCUCACCCAGGCUAUCAAUCGUUACUUCACUAGGUCUCUCUGUGAAUAGUUCUUGAACCUGGAAUUCAAGCCUCCUUCCCAUGUUCCUGUCCUUCUUCUGGGGGGACCUAGCCUCCUGAUUGUGUCCUACUGUAGGGUUCUUCUCUUAGGAGACCAGAGACUUUGCUAGAGAAGUCUGAGUCUGUUGCUGGCCCCUCUGCAGGCAUCUUGGACACAUCUCCCCAGUUCAUACUCUUGGCCUGACUACCGUUUUCACAUCAUGGUCUUGCCUCACGCUGAACAGAGCACUAUCCUGGUUCCUGCUCCUUAUGCAGGUUCCUUGGCACUGUGGCUGGAAUAGCUUAGUCCUGGGAACCUGACUAGAAGGACAAGGAAAUGAAGAAAGGACAGACACAUGUACAGAAAAGCUGGGGUCAGGAGAACCAUGCUUGCUCUGAUGUAACAGCACCAGCUACACAAUACCCUGGACCAUCGGUGUGUUUAUUAUGCAUAGCAGGAAGAGCAGUUAGCUAGUCUCGGUAGGAGGACUUAGUAGGGGAGCUGUCUCAGCUUGUAGUUAUCUGAGAGGAGGAAGCUUGAUCAUAAAUACUCAUACUGG
Molecule: long non-coding RNA, 999 nt
Filed under: Mus caroli (Ryukyu mouse)
Lineage: Eukaryota; Metazoa; Chordata; Mammalia; Rodentia; Muridae
Description: lncRNA (MGP_CAROLIEiJ_G0005020.1)
Source: RNAcentral